RNAcentral lists this ribosomal RNA (485 nucleotides) under uncultured bacterium. RNAcentral describes it as "partial 16S ribosomal RNA". It matches the Rfam family "Bacterial small subunit ribosomal RNA", at positions 28 to 523 of the family's 1533-position model. The record is from RNAcentral.
GACGAACGCUGGCGGCGUGCUUAACACAUGCAAGUCGAACGGUGAAAGCGGAGCUUGCUCCGCUGGAUCAGUGGCGAACGGGUGAGUAACACGUGGGCAACCUGCCCCUCACUUCGGGAUAACUCCGGGAAACCGGGGCUAAUACCGGAUAUGACCUCCUUGGGCAUCCUUGGAGGUGGAAAGUUUUUCGGUGAGGGAUGGGCCCGCGGCCUAUCAGCUUGUUGGUGAGGUAGUGGCUCACCAAGGCGACGACGGGUAGCCGGCCUGAGAGGGCGACUGGCCACACUGGGACUGAGACACGGCCCAGACUCCUACGGGAGGCAGCAGUGGGGAAUAUUGCGCAAUGGGCGAAAGCCUGACGCAGCAACGCCGCGUGCGGGAUGACGGCCUUUGGGUUGUAAACCGCUUUCAGCAGGGAAGAAGCCGCAAGGUGACGGUACCUGCAGAAGAAGCACCGGCUAACUACGUGCCAGCCGCCGCAGUAA